CCCAGGGGUCCAGGAUCUGGUUCCAGGAAGCAAGGCGCACGGCCAGAAAUAGCGGCCGCUGCAGCGAGCUGGAGUUCCAGCCCCCGAUGGCCAGCACCACCAACACCUGCGGGGAAAGCCGGUCAGCGGGCUCCAGCAGAUGCACGACACCAUCAUGAUGCCCACGAGCUGGCCCACCAUCUCCACGUCGUGGGCGCGGGUUCUGCGUGCUGAGCCUCCGCCCCGGGAACUGCGGAGGGCUGGGGAGGCUGAAGCGAUGGAUGAGGCAGACGAGGAGGAGGCCGAGCGGAGGCCUCGUGACCCCCAGCGUCGGCGGCUAUCUGGGCGGGAGGCCUGGGGAAAACGUCCGGAGUGGCGGCGCCAGCGGGCGCGCAGCAGGGCCAGGCCGCUGAGCGUGUUGCACACUAGCGCAGCGAGUAGCGCAGCCAGGCCGAGGCCUGCGAAGAGGCCGGCAAGCAGUGCCUGGCGCCAGCCGCCGGGUGGCCCGAGGCCAAUAAAACACCAGGUGCCAGGGUACUGCAGCUCAUAGCGACCCACGCGUGCUAGCGGGAGCAGCGCCACCGCCAAGGCCACAGCGGCCAAUGCGGCGAGCGCAAAGCGCGCGCGGGCCACUGAGACGCGCGCGGCAUGGAGCAGAGGCCAGGUGACACCCACACAGCGCUCCACUGCCAUGCCGCAGCCCAGCAGGAGCGGGCACAGGCCGAAGAAGACCAUGCAACCACCCAGGAAGUGGCAGGCCCCACCGGCCGGUGCGCGCCCCGCAGCAUACAGGCGCAGCACUAGUGCGCCCGGGAUCACGUGGCCCGCCAGGUCGAUGGCCAGCAGACUAGCGACGAACAACAGGAAGGUGGCGGCCGAGCGGCGGCGCCGCAGGCGGCCUGCGGCCUGAGCCAGCAGCGCCAGUGCCAGCACGUUGGACACUGCACCCAGCGUCAUGGAGAAGAUGGGCAGCGCUGGUGAUCCGCCCGUACCACCCAAGGGCGGCACCGCCGACACGUUGGGGAUCCCGGGCGCCGAGCACGUGGUAGCCUCGCCAGCCAGGCUCCAGUUAAGGGGCCCGCAAAGACUCAUGUCAGGCGCCUGGAGGGCUGGGUAGAGGAGAUGAAGGCAAGUGAGGCUGGAGGGACACUGCGGGAGACCGCGGAUUGACUGUCCCAUCUCACCAGAACCCAUCUGACCCCAAGGCCCUUUUGCCUGUGGCAACUCCAGAUGACCCUAGCUGUUCCGAUGCCUGCGCCCCUCACUAGCCCAUCUCUUGCUCCUCCUUCCACUCUGCCGCCUCCUUCCCAUAGCCCACCACUCUAAGGCUGCCCUAGACCAGCCCCCCAGGUCUCUGCCCCACUUCUGCACCCCAGAGAUCCACCUCUGACCCCCAUCUCCCAUUUUUGCAGCACAGCAAACUCCUGGCCCAGGGCCCCAUCUGGAACACCAAUUUCUGACCCCAGGGACAGGCUGCUCGCAGGUGCCCGCACUGACCUUCACCAUGUCACCUUCACUUCAGUCCCAUCCUUGAUGUCCCCAGCUCCAACUCCACUAUCACAGACAUCCCCGUCCCCAUGGACCCAUCUCUGACCCCCAUGGCACUGUCUCUGUCCCCAUAACCCUCCCCCCACAGCCCCAUCUCUCGUCUGUGGACCCAUUUCUGUGUCCCAGGCCCCAUCUCUGUGCCUCUCAGCCUGGUCCCAUUUUUUGCUUUGAUGGCACUGUAUCUUUAUAGUCAUGUCUUUGUCCCCACAGUCCCAUCUCUGGCUUCCAUGGCACUAUCUCCCAGAACCUCGUCUCUGGGCCCUGUGGUCAUAUUUGUGCCCAUGGCCACAACUCGGUCCUCCACGGUGGUCUCUGGGCUCCACUGCUCUCACCCGGGCACCAUCCCUGACCACCACCUCACCUGGAAGCCCACAAUCCCACACUGCCCACGACCCCUCCCUGUCCCAGAGACCUCAAGGAGACCCAUAUCCUGCCUCCCUCUCCCCCUCCCACUCCACCACACCCUGGUGGUGGCAGGUAAAAAGCCGGAUUUCACCCUGGGCCAGAGGGAAAGGUGGAUGGACAGAGAGUAAGACCCAAGCACAGACACACAGGGACUGAGAUCCAGGGAACACAGCAGUAUCAACCAAAGUAGCCAAGGUCCCAUCCUCAUCCCCAAACCCAACCCUGAACCCAGCCUUCUUACCCAGCGCUGGGACGCUGGGUCCCCAUGGCCCACCGCUCAGGCCCGGCUGCCCACGCCCGCUGCGCCUGGCUCUCUGGGCGGCCGCUCCCUCCCUCUUCCUGGGGCGGCUCCUCGCCUCCACCCGCAGCCCUGCUGGCCUCCAGGGACCGCUCCACCCCUUGUACGCCUGCUGGGGGCCUGGAGUGGCAGAGACCCCCAGUCUGUCCUCCUGGCAGUGGGUGGAGACCACUGGGGCCCCAGCUCCUCCUCUAUGAGGAGGGAGGCUCCCUGAGAGUCGGCCUGGUCCCCUGUGACCCCCUCCUCCCAGUGGGGCGGGAGCAGCCCCUUUCCCCCGGGCUCGGGCCUCUUGCCUGCCUCAUUAAUAAAGCGGAUAAAAUCUAAA
This is a long non-coding RNA of Marmota monax (woodchuck), 2555 nucleotides long. RefSeq lists it as uncharacterized. NCBI's taxonomy places the organism in Eukaryota, Metazoa, Chordata, Mammalia, Rodentia, Sciuridae. The transcript has 2 exons. The record is from RefSeq and is a predicted model, not a curated record.